This 430-nucleotide ribosomal RNA is filed under the name Pseudomonadota bacterium. Its description in RNAcentral is "Proteobacteria bacterium partial 16S ribosomal RNA". It matches the Rfam family "Bacterial small subunit ribosomal RNA", at positions 355 to 776 of the family's 1533-position model. The record is from RNAcentral. Lineage: Bacteria; Pseudomonadati; Pseudomonadota.
UGGGGAAUAUUGGACAAUGGGCGCAAGCCUGAUCCAGCCAUGCCGCGUGUGUGAAGAAGGCCUUAUGGUUGUAAAGCACUUUAAGCGAGGAGGAGGCUACUUUAGUUAAUACCUAGAGAUAGUGGACGUUACUCGCAGAAUAAGCACCGGCUAACUCUGUGCCAGCAGCCGCGGUAAUACAGAGGGUGCAAGCGUUAAUCGGAUUUACUGGGCGUAAAGCGCGCGUAGGCGGCUAAUUAAGUCAAAUGUGAAAUCCCCGAGCUUAACUUGGGAAUUGCAUUCGAUACUGGUUAGCUAGAGUGUGGGAGAGGAUGGUAGAAGUCCAGGUGUAGCGGUGAAAUGCGUAGAGAUCUGGAGGAAUACCGAUGGCGAAGGCAGCCAUCUGGCCUAACACUGACGCUGAGGUGCGAAAGCAUGGGGAGCAAACAGG